UACAGAGGUCUCAAGCGUUGUUCGGAUUCAUUGGGCGUAAAGGGUGCGUAGGUGGCGCGGUAAGUCGGGUGUGAAAUUUCGGAGCUCAACUCCGAAACUGCAUUCGAUACUGCCGUGCUUGAGGACUGGAGAGGAGACUGGAAUUUACGGUGUAGCAGUGAAAUGCGUAGAGAUCGUAAGGAAGACCAGUGGCGAAGGCGGGUCUCUGGACAGAAACUGACGCUGAUGCGCGAAAGCUAGGGGAGCAAACAGG
RNAcentral lists this ribosomal RNA (253 nucleotides) under uncultured bacterium. RNAcentral describes it as "partial 16S ribosomal RNA". It matches the Rfam family "Bacterial small subunit ribosomal RNA", at positions 524 to 776 of the family's 1533-position model. The record is from RNAcentral.